UAGAGUUUGAUCCUGGCUCAGGACGAACGCUGGCGGCGCGCCUAACACAUGCAAGUCGAACGAGCGAGAGAGAGCUUGCUUUCUCGAGCGAGUGGCGAACGGGUGAGUAACGCGUGAGGAACCUGCCUCAAAGAGGGGGACAACAGUUGGAAACGACUGCUAAUACCGCAUAAGCCCACGGGUCGGCAUCGACCAGAGGGAAAAGGAGCAAUCCGCUUUGAGAUGGCCUCGCGUCCGAUUAGCUAGUUGGUGAGGUAACGGCCCACCAAGGCAACGAUCGGUAGCCGGACUGAGAGGUUGAACGGCCACAUUGGGACUGAGACACGGCCCAGACUCCUACGGGAGGCAGCAGUGGGGAAUAUUGCACAAUGGGGGAAACCCUGAUGCAGCGACGCCGCGUGGAGGAAGAAGGUCUUCGGAUUGUAAACUCCUGUUGUUGGGGAAGAUAAUGACGGUACCCAACAAGGAAGUGACGGCUAACUACGUGCCAGCAGCCGCGGUAAAACGUAGGUCACAAGCGUUGUCCGGAAUUACUGGGUGUAAAGGGAGCGCAGGCGGGAAGACAAGUUGGAAAUGAAAUCUAUGGGCUCAACCCAUAAACUGCUUUCAAAACUGUUUUUCUUGAGUAGUGCAGAGGUAGGCGGAAUUCCCGGUGUAGCGGUGGAAUGCGUAGAUAUCGGGAGGAACACCAGUGGCGAAGGCGGCCUACUGGGCACCAACUGACGCUGAGGCUCGAAAGUGUGGGUAGCAAACAGGAUUAGAUACCCUGGUAGUCCACACCGUAAACGAUGAUUACUAGGUGUUGGAGGAUUGACCCCUUCAGUGCCGCAGUUAACACAAUAAGUAAUCCACCUGGGGAGUACGACCGCAAGGUUGAAACUCAAAGGAAUUGACGG
RNAcentral lists this ribosomal RNA (896 nucleotides) under uncultured bacterium. RNAcentral's name for it is "bacterial SSU rRNA". It matches the Rfam family "Bacterial small subunit ribosomal RNA", at positions 1 to 916 of the family's 1533-position model. The record is from RNAcentral.